CCUACGGGAGGCAGCAGUGAGGCAUAUUGGUCAAUGGGCGUAAGCCUUCACCAGCCAAGUCGCGUGAGGGCUGCAGGUUCUAUGGAUCGUAAACCUCUUUUAUAAGGGAAUCAAGUGCGUGACGUUUCCCUUUUUUUAUGUACCUUGUGAAUAAGGAUCGGCUAACUCCGUGCCAGCAUCCGCGGUAAUACGGAGGAUCCGAGCGUUAUCCGGAUUUAUUGGGUUUAAAGGGUGCGUAGGCGGCCUUUUAAGUCAGCGGUGAAAGUCUGUGUCUCAACCAUUGAAUUGCCGUUGAAACUGGGAGGCUUGAGUAUGUUUGAGGAAGGCGGAAUGCGUGGUGUAGCGGUGAAAUGCUUAGAUAUCACGCAGAACCCCGAUUGCGAAGGCAGCCUGCCAAGCCAUGACUGACGCUGAUGCACGAAAGCGUGGGGAUCAAACAGGAUUAGAUACCCCUGUAGUC
This 460-nucleotide ribosomal RNA is filed under the name uncultured bacterium. RNAcentral describes it as "partial 16S ribosomal RNA". It matches the Rfam family "Bacterial small subunit ribosomal RNA", at positions 338 to 795 of the family's 1533-position model. The record is from RNAcentral.